GUGUCAGCAGCCGCGGUAAUACAGAGGUCUCAAGCGUUGUUCGGAAUCACUGGGCGUAAAGGGUGCGUAGGCCGCACGGUAAGUCAGAGGUGAAAUCCCGGAGCUCAACUUCGGAAUUGCCUCCGAUACUGCCGUGCUUGAGGACUGGAGAGGAGAUUGGAAUUCACAGUGGAGCAGUGAAAUGCGUAGAUAUUGUGAGGAACACUAGUGGCGAAGGCGAAUCUCUGGACAGUUCCUGACGCUGAGGCACGAAGGCCAGGGGAGCAAACGGGAUUAGAAACCCGCGUAGUCC
This 292-nucleotide ribosomal RNA is filed under the name uncultured bacterium. RNAcentral describes it as "partial 16S ribosomal RNA". It matches the Rfam family "Bacterial small subunit ribosomal RNA", at positions 505 to 796 of the family's 1533-position model. The record is from RNAcentral.